GCGUCUUUACCGCUAGGAAGGGUAGACAAUACUCAGGCGCCGAGACUGAGGGCUGCAGGCUUCUUAAAGUGCCUUGAUUGGAGAUGUGGAGCAGGUGUGUAGUCUCACUCAGCCUCAGCGCCGGGGGAGGGGAGGAAGCUCUGGAAGAAAGUAAAGCCAGUCCAGGCAGACAGGGAAACACAGGAAGUCCAGCCAAAAUAAAACAAGAUGAGGAGGCGUCUCACCACAGUACCCCCCCCCUUAACGAACGCCUCUUGGCGUUCGUUAAGGGCUUGUUGGGGUGAGCGACGUAGAAGUCGUCAAGGAGUUGGUGGUCCAGGAUGAGGGAGCGGGAGAUCCAGGAACGCUCCUCUGGACCGUACCCCUCCCAGUCCACAAGAUAUUGGAAGCCUCGCUGCCGCGGCGGCACGUCCAGGAUUUUCCGUACAGUGAGGGCAGGGUGGUCGUCAAUCAACCGGGGGGGUUGAGGGGCGACGGAGGGGCUCAGGGUGCAUGAGGUAACAGGUUUUAUCAAGGAGACAUGGAAUGUGGGGUGGAUUUUGAGAGAUGAAGGAAGUUUUAAUCUCACAGCUGAAGGGUUGAUGAUUUUCUGGAUCGGAAAGGGACCAAUGAAGCGGGGGGACAGCUUGCGGGACUCGGUCUGCAGGGAAAGGUCACGGGACGAUAACCAGACCAUCUGACCAGGACGAUAGUCUGGUGCUGGGGAGCGGUGCACAUCAGCCAGGCAUUUGUUGCGCUCCGCCAUGCGGGUAAGUUUGGAGGAGUGCCCCCACUGUAGGAUCUGGGAACGUGCAACCCCAGGGAUGAAUUUUCUGUCCGGCGGGCCAGUUCCCGGGUCUGGGUUGUUCCGGAGAGCCUGGUCCACAAUAGGGGUUGAUCUCCCAAGAGGCGGAGCCGAUGACACACGAGGCAGGGAGGAUGGUGUCCGGUUCGCUGGGGUCCGGGGUAACCGAGGAGUGGGUCCGAGAGAGGGCGUCUGGUUUGAGGUCGUGGGAGCCGGGACGAUAGGAGACGGUGAAGGUGAAUCUGCGGAGGAAGAGGGACCAGCGGACUUGCUUGGAGUUGAGGCUUCGAGCAGAAAGGAGGUAAAGAAAGUUUUUGUGGUCCGUCAAGAUGAGAAAUGGGUGUUGCGCUCCUUCCAGCCAGUGUCUCCAUCUUUGGAGUGCCCACACAACAGCCAGCAACUCACGGUUUCCCACGUUGUACUUUUGUUCGGUGGGUGAGAAUUUCCGGAAGAAGUAGGCGCAAGGAUGGAGCUUCUGGGUCUCGGUAUCCCUCCGUGAGAGGACGGCCCCCACUCCGGAGUCCGAGGCGUCGACCUCCACCAUGAACUGGAGAGAAGGAUCCGGGUGUCUGAGCACAGGGGGCGAGCGGAGGCAGUGAGAGUGGCAGUGAGGGCUCCAGGCGGAGAUUGACGCUGUGGACCAGUUGAUCUGGGGAUUGUGGAUCUGCAGCCAUGGGAGUCCAAGCACCAGGGGAGAGUGAGGAGAGGGAAGCAGGAACAGCCGGAUGUCCUCCCGAUGGUUACCGGAGAGGAUGAGGGUGAGAGGAGCAGUGCAGUGGGUGAUAGAGGCUAUCACUCUGCCAUCGAGAGCGGUGACCUUACGGGGGACCGGGAGUUCCUCCAGGGGGAGCUGAAGUCGCGCUGCCAGUCCGGCGUGAAUGAAGUUAUCGUCCGCCCCGGAGUCAAUAAGGGUUUGGAGCGACGUGGAGCCCUUCCCCCACAGGAGACAGGCUGGAACAGCGAUACGUCUGGGAGAGCUGGGAACAGAGGAGGUGUGGCUCUUCAGGGUGCCGACUGUCACUGAUGCCUGGCCGUUUGACUUAUUUGGGCAGUUGGCCAAAAAGUGACCGGCCUGGCCACAAUAAUCACAGAGCUUUAGCUCUAUCCUCCGUCUCCGUUCAUCUGGGUGUAGUUUGGUGCAGCCGAUCUGCAUGGGUUCCUCGGCAGAGGGCACCGGAUCUGGGAAGACUGAGGGCUGGAGAGGAGACCCGCUGACCGCAACAGAGGAAGGGGAGUCUAUAAGACGUACCGGGGAAUGACUUUUCUUCUCCCUCCGUCUCUCCCUGAGGCGAUUAUCUAUUCUGAUUGCUAGCGCUAUUAGCUCCUCAAGGGAGGAGGGCUCAUCUCGAGCCGCUAGCUCAUCUUUCAAUUGUUCAGAGAGGCCCCAAGUGAAUAUCCCUUUUAACUCGAGUUCCCCCCACCCACUCUCGGCCGCCACUGUACGGAACUCAAUGGAGUACUUCGCCACUGACCAAGAGCUCUGGGUGAGGGAAAACAACCGUUUGGUACACUCGGGGCCCUCGACAGGAAAAUCAAAUAUCUUCCGGAGCUCCUCUGAGAAUAGGGCGUAAGAGGAGAACAUAGGUGAUUCCCUAUCCCAGACAGCCGUAGCCCACUUAGCGGCUCUACCUCUCAACAGAUUUAUUGUGUAAGCUAUUUUAGACCGAUCUGAGGGGUAACUAAUGGGCUGUUGGUCAAAUACUAAGGCGCAGCGGAGCAGGAAACCUCUGCAGUCCCCAAUCUCCCCAGCAUACGGCUCAGGAGGAGGGACAUAGGGCUCUUUGAGGAUAGAGGGUGGUGGAGGAGGUGAAGAGGGGACCGUACUCACAGAGGGGGGAGAUCCUGUUUGCUGCGGUGGAAGCCGAGAGAGUAGUUGCUCCACCAGCUGCGCCACUUGAACCGAGAGGCCUUGAAAAGAACAAUUGAGAUCCUGGAGCAUAUCCUCAUGUUGACCAAGCCGCGUGCCGAGUUUCUUGACGGCUUGCUGAACUCGGUCUGGGUCUGCUGGGUCCAUUUUCCUGGCCUGAGUAUUCUGUAGUGUGGCUGGUUAGUUGUGAGGACCCAGAAGCAGACACUGAGACUGAGAUCAACUAAAGGUGUAAUUUUAAUGUCCAACUCAGGAUCGAAAUGCAAACAGAGGAAGUCCGGAGGGCUGGUUGGCAGGCUGUCGUGUGGGCUGGAGACACUGCAGGAAAAACUCAGCCUCAGCGCCGGGGGAGGGGAGGAAGCUCUGGAAGAAAGUAAAGCCAGACCAGGCAGACAGGGAAACACAGGAAGUCCAGCCAAAAUAAAACAAGAUGAGGAGGCGUCUCACCACA
RNAcentral lists this long non-coding RNA (3102 nucleotides) under Xyrichtys novacula (pearly razorfish). The record is from RNAcentral. Lineage: Eukaryota; Metazoa; Chordata; Actinopteri; Labriformes; Labridae.